UUUCUUUCGCAGAGGCAAUAUCGUAGCUCAAUGAGGUUUAUCCGAGGCGUGAUCAUUGCUGGUUGAAAACUUUACCCAAUACCCCGCCGAGAUGACUUGAAAUACAGUCAACCUUGGCAAUUUUUGCUCGUCUCUUAGGAGG
Molecule: small nuclear RNA, 142 nt
Organism: Triplophysa dalaica
Lineage: Eukaryota; Metazoa; Chordata; Actinopteri; Cypriniformes; Nemacheilidae
Product: U4 spliceosomal RNA
Exons: 1
Source: RefSeq, a predicted model, not a curated record